This 253-nucleotide ribosomal RNA is filed under the name uncultured bacterium. RNAcentral's name for it is "partial 16S ribosomal RNA". It matches the Rfam family "Bacterial small subunit ribosomal RNA", at positions 524 to 776 of the family's 1533-position model. The record is from RNAcentral.
UACGGGGGGGGCAAGCGUUGUUCGGAAUUACUGGGCGUAAAGGGCUCGUAGGCGGCCAACUAAGUCAGACGUGAAAUCCCUCGGCUUAACCGGGGAACUGCGUCUGAUACUGGAUGGCUUGAGUUUGGGAGAGGGAUGCGGAAUUCCAGGUGUAGCGGUGAAAUGCGUAGAUAUCUGGAGGAACACCGGUGGCGAAGGCGACAUCCUGGACCGGCACUGACGCUGAGGAGCGAAAGCCAGGGGAGCGAACGGG